AGCUCUGGUGGCCUAGUGGUUAGAGCAUCUGUCUUGGAUGUGAGAGGUUGUGGGUUCAAUCCCCUGCUGAGUCA
Non-coding RNA from Potamilus streckersoni, 74 nucleotides. The record is from the annotation of a GenBank genome assembly. Lineage: Eukaryota; Metazoa; Mollusca; Bivalvia; Unionida; Unionidae.